Long non-coding RNA from Sinocyclocheilus anshuiensis, 285 nucleotides. RefSeq lists it as uncharacterized. The transcript is spliced from 4 exons. Lineage: Eukaryota; Metazoa; Chordata; Actinopteri; Cypriniformes; Cyprinidae. The record is from RefSeq and is a predicted model, not a curated record.
GCUCGGGGUGGAGGGUGUGAAGUGUUUAUAAGAGCUGGAGAAUCAUGAAAAACAACCAGAGAUUGAAGCAGAAGACCCACGGACAGAGUCAGCUCUUCAGACGGACCUGCUGCAGUCAUGUGUGUCGCUCUUCACUGUGUGUUUCUCUGUGUUUCUCUGGCGCUCGGUGCUUGUUAUGAUUCUCAGGAGAGCCACGAGUCAUUCGAGGUAUUUGUGAAUCCAUAUCAGGCGAAUGCUUUCAUGAGGAGUCCACAAGAUCGCAUCUACAACCAGUACAUCUACAGG